Molecule: ribosomal RNA, 1026 nt
Filed under: uncultured bacterium
Lineage: Bacteria
Description: bacterial SSU rRNA
Rfam family: Bacterial small subunit ribosomal RNA
Source: RNAcentral
GAUGAACGCUGGCGGCGUGCUUAACACAUGCAAGUCGAACGAUGAAGCCCAGCUUGCUGGGUGGAUUAGUGGCGAACGGGUGAGUAACACGUGAGCAACCUGCCCCUGACUCUGGGAUAAGCGCUGGAAACGGUGUCUAAUACUGGAUAUGUCCCAUCACCGCAUGGUGUGUGGGUGGAAAGAUUUUUCGGUUGGGGAUGGGCUCGCGGCCUAUCAGCUUGUUGGUGAGGUAAUGGCUCACCAAGGCGUCGACGGGUAGCCGGCCUGAGAGGGUGACCGGCCACACUGGGACUGAGACACGGCCCAGACUCCUACGGGAGGCAGCAGUGGGGAAUAUUGCACAAUGGGCGCAAGCCUGAUGCAGCAACGCCGCGUGAGGGAUGACGGCCUUCGGGUUGUAAACCUCUUUUAGCAGGGAAGAAGCGAGAGUGACGGUACCUGCAGAAAAAGCACCGGCUAACUACGUGCCAGCAGCCGCGGUAAUACGUAGGGUGCAAGCGUUAUCCGGAAUUAUUGGGCGUAAAGAGCUCGUAGGCGGUUUGUCGCGUCUGCUGUGAAAUUCCGAGGCUCAACCUCGGGCUUGCAGUGGGUACGGGCAGACUAGAGUGCGGUAGGGGAGAUUGGAAUUCCUGGUGUAGCGGUGGAAUGCGCAGAUAUCAGGAGGAACACCGAUGGCGAAGGCAGAUCUCUGGGCCGUAACUGACGCUGAGGAGCGAAAGGGUGGGGAGCAAACAGGCUUAGAUACCCUGGUAGUCCACCCCGUAAACGUUGGGAACUAGUUGUGGGGUCCUUUCCACGGAUUCCGUGACGCAGCUAACGCAUUAAGUUCCCCGCCUGGGGAGUACGGCCGCAAGGCUAAAACUCAAAGGAAUUGACGGGGACCCGCACAAGCGGCGGAGCAUGCGGAUUAAUUCGAUGCAACGCGAAGAACCUUACCAAGGCUUGACAUACACGAGAACGGGCCAGAAAUGGUCAACUCUUUGGACACUCGUGAACAGGUGGUGCAUGGUUGUCGUCAGCUCGUGU